UCUCUCUACCUGUUGCUUUGGCGGGCCCACCGGGGCCACCCGGUCGCCGGGGGACGUCCGUCCCCGGGCCCGCGCCCGCCGAAGCGCUCUGUGAACCCUGAUGAAGAUGGGCUGUCUGAGUCGAAUGAAAAUUGUCAAAACUUUCAACAAUGGAUCUCUUGGUUCCGGCAUCGAUGAAGAACGCAGCGAAAUGCGAUAAGUAAUGUGAAUUGCAGAAUUCCGUGAAUCAUCGAAUCUUUGAACGCACAUUGCGCCCCCUGGCAUUCCGGGGGGCAUGCCUGUCCGAGCGUCUUUUCUGCCCUCAAGCCCGGCUUGUGUGUUGGGCGUGGUCCCCCCGGGGACCUGUCCGAAAGGCAGCGGCGACGUCCGUCUGGUCCUCGAGCGUAUGGGGCUUUGUCACUCGCUCGGGACGGAUCGGCGGAGGUUGGUCACCACCACAGUUUUACCACGGUUGACCUCGGAUCAAGUAGGAGUUACCCGAUGAACUUAAGCAUAUCAAUAA
RNAcentral lists this ribosomal RNA (502 nucleotides) under Talaromyces aurantiacus. RNAcentral's name for it is "eukaryotic LSU rRNA". The stretch from base 139 to 292 matches the Rfam family "5.8S ribosomal RNA". Lineage: Eukaryota; Fungi; Ascomycota; Eurotiomycetes; Eurotiales; Trichocomaceae. The record is from RNAcentral.